Molecule: non-coding RNA, 2489 nt
Organism: Styela clava
Lineage: Eukaryota; Metazoa; Chordata; Ascidiacea; Stolidobranchia; Styelidae
Source: RefSeq, a predicted model, not a curated record
CGAGUUGUUGACAGCGACAUCUGGUGUUGGCGUGGGUUUUACACCCCUGUCGUCUGCUGGACAGCCAAAUCAGGCAGUUUGACGCAGGUAAUGUUUGAUUAUUUUCAGGCCAUGUUUACACAUUUCAAAUUUCGCGAAGUUGGCAAGAUAUAGAAAGAAUGAAAUAAAAAGGCAACUAUUAUUAUUAAACUUAAAUAUAGACUGUAUAUGCAGAAAGGUAGUCUAGAAUCCUAAUCUACUGGUAACUCCGGUGCUGUUAACAUUCGUUUUUUAGUUACCGGUACAGAGUUAAUUAUGGUUCCAAGGAAGCAUCGUGUCCCGGAUGGUAAGAAAAGGAAAUUUGGAAUGCCUUCAAAAGAAUGGGCACAAAAGUUUCAUCACGUUUUUUUGGUAUCCGCAAUUUUACCAUUGUGUUUAAAUAUCGCUACUCUGCUAAUUUUAAAAGCAAAGUUGAAGAUGGAAAAGCUAGAAUUUGUGCUGAUAAUUUCAAGGAUGAAGAUAUUCAAAGGGCCAAUAAAAAAAGUUGGAUUAAAUUUGGAGCAUCACCCACAAAAUUGUUGCCAAGAAAAUCAUAUGAAGUACCUCCCUGCCCACCAAGAAGAAUUAUUCCCAAAUAUUCAUCUAUAAAACCUUCAUCUCAAUCUGCAAUUAUUAACUACAAUUUCAUUAAUGAAAUAAUUUCAGCUUUUGAAAGUAUCACCUUCAAAAACUGGAGAAUACAUUAAAUCAAUACAUACAAAACUCAUUUCACAUACUAUUCUAAUCACAUCACGACACCGGAAAUAAGCCUUCUAAUACGCCAAUUUGACCAAAAACAAUUUCCCUUUUCUUGCGCUUUCGCUGGAGUUUAUUCUUCCACCAUAUCAUCGGCAAUUUCAAUACUACUCAAAAACUUGGUUGAUCUCACCCCGUGUUUGGGAUAUGAUAUUGUUUCCACAAAUAGUUCAUGGAUUCCCAGAAGUGUUCCUGAAAUAGAAGAUGAUGGCAGAAUUUCCUUGAAAUUAAGAUAUCUCAGCUCUCAAUGUGAAAUAGCGUAUUCUUAUGCUGGUACACGACCCAACAUACACUUGUAUGCGUCUCCAUGUGCAUGAUCAAGACGGUGACAAGAGAAAAUUCAGCCUUUUUACAACAUCUAUGAUAAAAGAUUAGAAUGGCUUGAGAAAGAUUUUUUAAAAACCUGGAUAUUGGAAAGAAAAGGCAUACAGUCGGCCAUUAGUGGGAGAAGUUAAUCGCCAGAAAAUGCUGCUCAGUGAUGUCACAAAAAAUGGCUUGAGAAUGGCAUCUAUCUCUAUGGCUGCGAUUAUUCGUAUUGUUUUGGACAGUGGUGCGAACCAUGUUUUACCACGGCGAAUAAACCAAGACCCUCUAGAGCAGGGGUCCGCAACCACUUCUCAGCGCGACCCAAAAAUUCUUUUUCUAAUUUCUUGCAACCCAAGCAUUUGGUAAGCAUAAAAUUAGUUAUCAAUUUUAAGACUAUUAUUGACCCUAUCAAUUUUCUUGCAUAAAAUUAUAUGAAACUUAGCACAUAAAAUGAAUAAUAGCGUUUAUUAUGACUAAUGCGAAUUAUAAGCUUUGUGUUUCGAGCACAACAUGUCAAUUCGAGGUUUAAUUUGGGAGACGGUAACUCGAAGAUCUUCUAGCCUUGUUCUGUAUUUGUUUUUUAUGUAUGAAAACGUCCUUCCACAUAAGUAGGUAGUUCCGAAUGGCAACAGAGCAUUCAUUGCAUCAGUUAAUAACUCCGGAUAUUCCUUUGCAACUGAAAUCCAAAAUUCAACCACGACAGACUGUCUGAAUGAAGUAUCUGAGCGCUUUUAAAAUGUUUAUUAUUACGUCAAAAUUUGCACUUCUAAUGAUUGGCCAAUGUCACCUCAGUAAAUAAGGAAGUGUAAACUCGGGGAAACAUCCAUAAUUAUAAUCGGAGAUUUAUAUAGUUGUUAUACCUGAAUACGCUACACAGACACGAUGCUCAUAAUUAUGGCAAAUUUAAAUUGUUUUGCGACCCAGAGCGAAGUGCUUCGCAACCCAAAUUUGGGUCGCGACCCUGUAGUUGCAGACCCCUGUCUCGUUUGCUGUAAGAUUCAAGUGUAAUUUCAACACAAUACAUUCAGAUACUCAUUUUUGUACCUAAUUUCUUGGUUUGCGGCCCGCGUGGCCAAUAAAUUUCAAAAAGGGGUCCGCGACAUGUUUUGAUUUGGAGACCCCUGCUCUAGAGGCAUAUUUUGGUCACCAACGAGAGCGAGGUUCUGGAAACCCCACCUUUAGUUUAUUCACAUCAAACUCCAGAUCAAUAGAUGUUGUAAAUUCGAGUAGUAGUGGUUCUAAUGUUGCGAUUGAAAAUGAUUGAUAAAUUUCUAGAAGCUGACUUCUUUCUGCUUAAAUACAUGCAUACGGAUUUAUAUAUAAGUACUAGUCCAUUUUCUUAAAUUCGUUUCUAAUUUUAGUGGCUGGCUCGUCUCUGCUUUAAAUAAUAGUUACCAUAAUGUAUCCAA